GGAAAUGCCUGCACACUACAAUGCAAGUCGUACGAUAGUACCCAGAUUGCUGGGUGGAUUACUGCCGAACGGGUGAGUAAACGUGAGUAACCUGCCCUUGCUCUGGGAUAUACCUGGGAAACUGGGUCUAAUACCGGAUAGGAGCGCCUACCGCAUGGGGGGUGUUGGAAAAAUUUGUCUUUUUUUAUCACUUUCAGAUGGGCCCGCCUUGCAUUAACUAUUUGGUGACGUAAAGGCUCCCCUAGGCAACGAUGCUUAACCGACCUGAGAGGGUGAUCGGCACCACUGGGACUGAGAACUCUCCAGACUCCUACGGUAGUGAAAUUAGAGAAUC
This 334-nucleotide ribosomal RNA is filed under the name Micrococcus sp. MNJ-008. RNAcentral's name for it is "bacterial SSU rRNA". The stretch from base 25 to 322 matches the Rfam family "Bacterial small subunit ribosomal RNA", at positions 59 to 350 of the family's 1533-position model. Lineage: Bacteria; Bacillati; Actinomycetota; Actinomycetes; Micrococcales; Micrococcaceae. The record is from RNAcentral.